RNAcentral lists this signal recognition particle RNA (304 nucleotides) under Vombatus ursinus (common wombat). RNAcentral's name for it is "Metazoan signal recognition particle RNA (ENSVURG00010006121.1)". It matches the Rfam family "Metazoan signal recognition particle RNA". Rfam says of the family: The signal recognition particle (SRP) is a universally conserved ribonucleoprotein. It is involved in the co-translational targeting of proteins to membranes. The eukaryotic SRP consists of a 300-nucleotide 7S RNA and six proteins: SRPs 72, 68, 54, 19, 14, and 9. The record is from Rfam by way of RNAcentral. Lineage: Eukaryota; Metazoa; Chordata; Mammalia; Diprotodontia; Vombatidae.
ACUGGAUGUGGUGGGGCACUUCUGUAGUCACUACUAAUGGGAGGCUGAGGCUGGUAAAUUGAUUGAGUUCAGGAGUUCUGAGCUAUAGUAGGGCUAAUGUUGAUCAAGUGUCCACACUGAAUCCAGAACCAAUGUGGUGAGCCCUGGGAUGCAGAGAACCACCAGCAGGCCUACAGAGGGGUACAUCAUCCCUUGUUGGAAAAACAGAGCAGGUUAAAGCUUCUGUGCUGAUCUGUAGUGGGACUGGGCCCUUGAGUGAUGGCCACACUUAUAGCCCAUGAGAGAUAGGGAGAUCCAGGCUCAA